UACGUAGGGUGCGAGCGUUGUCCGGAAUUAUUGGGCGUAAAGAGCUUGUAGGUGGUUUGUCGCGUCUGCUGUGAAAAUCCGAGGCUCAACCUCGGACUUGCAGUGGGUACGGGCAGACUAGAGUGUGGUAGGGGAGACUGGAAUUCCUGGUGUAGCGGUGGAAUGCGCAGAUAUCAGGAGGAACACCGGUGGCGAAAGCGCUCAUCUGGCCCAAUACUGACGCUGAGGCGCGAAAGCUAGGGGAGCAAACGGG
This 253-nucleotide ribosomal RNA is filed under the name uncultured bacterium. RNAcentral's name for it is "partial 16S ribosomal RNA". It matches the Rfam family "Bacterial small subunit ribosomal RNA", at positions 524 to 776 of the family's 1533-position model. The record is from RNAcentral.